This is a long non-coding RNA of Myotis lucifugus (little brown bat), 1943 nucleotides long. RefSeq lists it as uncharacterized. The transcript has 2 exons. The record is from RefSeq and is a predicted model, not a curated record. NCBI's taxonomy places the organism in Eukaryota, Metazoa, Chordata, Mammalia, Chiroptera, Vespertilionidae.
AGGUCUGAUUAAUCUAAGAAUUCUGGUAAACCGACACGAAAGACCAACAACCUGAUCCACGUGGGCAAAGGAUGCCAACAGGGAAGGAAAUGUGACUAACACCGAAAUCCCACAAAAUACACGCAGUCCCUUCUGUACACAGGAGCCAUAGGCACCUGCGGUCUCCCACCCUCACUGCAGACCAGGCCUCGGUGCACUGCUGGUGGACACAGACGGGAAGCCCGUAUUGCAAGAGACGCCAGGUGGCACCUUUCCCACACUGUGGUCCUGCAGCUGUGUUCCCCCCGUGAAGUGACCUACGUACUUGGUUUCUCAGUUCAUCACUGAAAAGUAACCCCAACGUCAGCAGGAGCCCGGACGGACACAGUGCGCGCACAGUGGGGCUGCACAGGGGAGGCCAGGCGUGGAGCAGGUGCAUUUGAGCGUUUGCUCCUGUAUGUGCGUGCUCUGGAAGGACACGUCAUGCGGGUGCGGGGGAGCAGGGCGGUGUGACAGGCAGGAGGGGCACUCACUGAGGACUCCCUCUGCCUUUUGAAUUUUCUAGCGUGUGAGUUACUCGGAACACUCUCAUGGUGAAGAUGCUGGCUACACAGAAAACAUUCCCUGGAGGUGCCGGGGAGACCCAGGUGGCUGAGGGACCAGUGUUUGAAGGCAUCAAAUCCCCAAAGAUGAAGAGAAAAGGAAACACCACUGACGUUCUGUCCUCUGGAAAGCAGAGGGGCAGGUGACUGUAGAGACUGGAGAAGGCAGCAGGAGGGAAACAAACAGAAUCAACCUGUUUUAACCUGUUUUACCCCAAAGAAGAUUCAGAAAGUUCAGGAGUCGGAGGUACCAGGUACAUCUGGCCGUGCAGGGUGAGGGCUGCCAUGCAGGUCAGGGACCAGCUCUAGGCUCUGUCUGCACAGGAUGCUGAGCAGACAGCGGGCUCUGUUGUCGCUUGGAUUCUGGGUCUCCUCCCAUCUUGGCAAAAGGCGGGGUUGAGGCAGGAGACCAACUGAGGAAGUUAGGGGUUAAGUGAAGUCACGCUGUGUGCUGAGCAGCAGCCUCUCCUGGGAUACUGGCAAAAGGCUGGAAGUGCCUUCCUGGGGGGCUCAGGUGCCCCAAACAGUCCAGCCAGAGUACCCGACAGAUCUUCACUGGCACCCACUGACACCCCCUCUCCCCACUCAUAUCCCCCAAGAUGUGGGUCUUGGGGAGUGAUGCCUCCAUGUCUUACCCAGCCCCUCACUCACCUGCUCAGAGCCCCCAGAUUGGUGGUCCCCGUCUUAAACAUAAGCAGACAACUUGGAGGGAACAGAGACUAUAUUGGGAGAAGAAAACCUAAAACAAGUUACUGAUAUUCUCAGAGAAAUAAGGAAAGACAUUGUAACUGUGAGGACAACAGGAAGUGGCUAUAACAACGAAAGUUCAGGGAAUGGAACCGUCCUGGAAGUUAAAACUAACGAGCAGAUGCGAGCAUCUCCACAGGGUCUGGAAGAUGUCAGUGAAGGACUCUGGACGACAGAAUACAAAGAAAGGGAUGACGGUCAGAGUGAGAAGGUAAGAACAUUGUAGCUGGUCAAGCGGAAUGAAGUUAACUAGAAGAGGACGUUCUGCUGAGAAAAGGGGGGGCCUGCAAGCGGGCCACGUCAGAACCAAGUCUUGCAAGCAAGACUUAUUGUUCAGAGGCAGAAUUUUCCAUGAGGUGAUAAAUAGCCCAUGAGGGUAUGGAAAGUUCAAGGGAGGGUGCACUGCUGCAGGUGGAAAGGGUCUGUGUAUAACAUAGGAAAUUAAUAGUUUAAUGUAUAACUCAGCUCUGAUGAUCUCAUAAGCAUGCCUGUUAGUCACUGUCACUUGCUGUGCUCCAUUGUUAUUUGCUGUACUCCCCAAAUAAAAGCCAUGAGGGCUUUGGGGGCUUUGCUACUUGCCUGACUAGCAAUAGCCCUCUGCUUCUCUAAACUUCA